RNAcentral lists this ribosomal RNA (634 nucleotides) under Naganishia friedmannii. RNAcentral describes it as "partial large subunit ribosomal RNA". It matches the Rfam family "Eukaryotic large subunit ribosomal RNA", at positions 41 to 665 of the family's 3401-position model. The record is from RNAcentral. Lineage: Eukaryota; Fungi; Basidiomycota; Tremellomycetes; Filobasidiales; Filobasidiaceae.
UACAAAAAGCGGAGGAAAAGAAACUAACAAGGAUUCCCCUAGUAACGGCGAGUGAAGCGGGAAGAGCUCAAAUUUGAAAUCUGGUAGCCUUCGGUUGCCCGAGUUGUAAUCUAGAGAAGUGUUUUCCGCGUUGGCCCAUGUACAAGUCCCUUGGAACAGGGCGUCAUAGAGGGUGAGAAUCCCGUCCUUGACAUGGACCCCCAAUGCUUUGUGAUACACUUUCAACGAGUCGAGUUGUUUGGGAAUGCAGCUCAAAAUGGGUGGUGAAUUCCAUCUAAAGCUAAAUAUUGGCGAGAGACCGAUAGCGAACAAGUACCGUGAGGGAAAGAUGAAAAGCACUUUGGAAAGAGAGUUAAACAGUACGUGAAAUUGUUGAAAGGGAAACGAUUGAAGUCAGUCAUGCUCUUUGGAUUAAGCCGUUCUGCGGUGUAUUUCAUUGAGCGGGGUCAACAUCAGUUUUGAUCGCUGGAAAAGGGCAGGAGGAAGGUAGCACUCUCGGGUGAACUUAUAGCCUCUUGUCGUAUACAGUGAUUGGGACUGAGGAACGCAGCAUGCCUUUUGGCCGGGAUUCGUCCACGUACAUGCUUAGGAUGUUGACAUAAUGGCUUUAAACGACCCGUCUUGAACCAACGAA